Molecule: ribosomal RNA, 490 nt
Filed under: uncultured bacterium
Lineage: Bacteria
Description: partial 16S ribosomal RNA
Rfam family: Bacterial small subunit ribosomal RNA
Source: RNAcentral
AUUGAACGCUGGCGGCAGGCCUAACACAUGCAAGUCGAACGGUAACAGGAAGCAGCUUGCUGCUUUGCUGACGAGUGGCGGACGGGUGAGUAAUGUCUGGGAAACUGCCUGAUGGAGGGGGAUAACUACUGGAAACGGUAACUAAUACCGCAUAACGUCGCAAGACCAAAGAGGGGGACCUUCGGGCCUCUUGCCAUCGGAUGUGCCCAGAUGGGAUUAGCUAGUAGGUGGGGUAACGGCUCACCUAGGCGACGAUCCCUAGCUGGUCUGAGAGGAUGACCAGCCACACUGGAACUGAGACACGGUCCAGACUCCUACGGGAGGCAGCAGUGGGGAAUAUUGCACAAUGGGCGCAAGCCUGAUGCAGCCAUGCCGCGUGUAUGAAGAAGGCCUUCGGGUUGUAAAGUACUUUCAGCGGGGAGGAAGGGAGUAAAGUUAAUACCUUUGCUCAUUGACGUUACCCGCAGAAGAAGCACCGGCUAACUCCGUG